RNAcentral lists this ribosomal RNA (603 nucleotides) under uncultured fungus. Its description in RNAcentral is "eukaryotic LSU rRNA". The stretch from base 166 to 318 matches the Rfam family "5.8S ribosomal RNA". The record is from RNAcentral. Lineage: Eukaryota; Fungi.
UCCGUAGGUGAACCUGCGGAAGGAUCAUUAUCGUGGGGCUUCGGCCCCGUCGAGAUAGAACCCUUGCCUUUUGAGUACCGUCCGUUUCCUCGGCAGGUCCGCCUGCCAGGACACAAAACAAACCCUUUUUUACCUGUAACAGUCUGAAAAACAAACAAAAAUUAAAACUUUCAACAACGGAUCUCUUGGUUCUGGCAUCGAUGAAGAACGCAGCGAAAUGCGAUAAGUAAUGCGAAUUGCAGAAUCCGUGAGUCAUCGAAUCUUUGAACGCACAUUGCGCCCUCUGGUAUUCCGGGGGGCAUGCCUGUUCGAGCGUCAUUAUCACCCCUCAAGCCCGGCUUGUUGUUGGACGUCGGCGGCGGCCUUUAGUGGCGUACCGCCCGUCUCAAAGAUAAUGACGGCGUCUGUGAGGACACCUGUACACUGAGCUUUCGGGCACGUACUAGGCUGAUACUUGCAGACCCGGUCUUCGGGUUCGCUUCGGCGUCCCCAACUUUUUACCAAGGUUGACCUCGGAUCAGGUAGGAAUACCCGCUGAACUUAAGCAUAUCAAUAAGGCGGGAGGGGAAGGUCGGACUGGCCAAGGGCACACAGGGGGGGAUA